Molecule: ribosomal RNA, 462 nt
Filed under: uncultured bacterium
Lineage: Bacteria
Description: SSU rRNA
Rfam family: Bacterial small subunit ribosomal RNA
Source: RNAcentral
AGCCUGAACGCUGGCGGCGUGGCUAAGACAUGCAAGUCGUACGGUGUAGCAAUACACAGUGGCGAACGGGUGAGUAAUGUAUCGCUAACGUGCCCCGGACUUUGGGAUAGCUACCCGAAAGGGUAGGUAAUACCAGAUGAUAUAACUUUUCCGCAUGGAAAGGUUCUCAAAGGUCCGCCGGUCUGGGAGCGGGCGAUAUCGUAUCAGCUAGUUGGUGAGGUAACGGCUCACCAAGGCGACGACGCGUAGCCGGACUGAGAGGUUGGCCGGCCACAUUGGGACUGAGACACUGCCCAGACUCCUACGGGGGCUGCAGUAACGAAUCUUCCGCAAUGCACGAAAGUGUGACGGAGCGACGCCGCGUGUGGGACGAAGUUCUUCGGAAUGUAAACCACUGUCAGGGGUUAGAAAGUUCUGAUCAACCCCAGAGGAAGGCACGGCUAACUCUGUGCCAGCAGCCGC